UAUAUAACAAGAAUUUUUAAAUUUAUAAUCAAGUUCUGUUGGGCCACAUAAUUAAAUAAAUAGAAGCUAUGCCCUGGCCUUUGCAUUGCAGCCCCCCUUGCACAAGUCGUCUGGACAGCAAAUCGAGUGGUGAGGUGCAUGCAGAUGAGGAGGAGA
Long non-coding RNA from Perognathus longimembris pacificus (Pacific pocket mouse), 156 nucleotides. RefSeq lists it as uncharacterized. The transcript is spliced from 3 exons. Lineage: Eukaryota; Metazoa; Chordata; Mammalia; Rodentia; Heteromyidae. The record is from RefSeq and is a predicted model, not a curated record.